UACACCCUCAGUAGGUUGCCUGGUGAUC
Molecule: non-coding RNA, 28 nt
Filed under: Mus musculus (house mouse)
Lineage: Eukaryota; Metazoa; Chordata; Mammalia; Rodentia; Muridae
Source: RNAcentral